Ixodes scapularis (black-legged tick) is the source of this 73-nucleotide non-coding RNA. NCBI's taxonomy places the organism in Eukaryota, Metazoa, Arthropoda, Arachnida, Ixodida, Ixodidae. The record is from Rfam.
CCCUGGUUAGCUGAAUCGGUAGAGCGCUCCACCUGUAAUGGAGAGAUGUCGGGUUCGAUACCCGGACCAGGCG